GGUGCUCGGGUCCGGAAGCAACAUGGCAGCAUCCGUGAGGCGCUAGUUUUAGGAAAAGAGAGGGUUUGGUGUCGCUGCCUUGCGGGAUUUUGACAGGUUGGAGCUUUCCACGACCUCCCGAUUUAAGGAAGCGUGUAUCGAUAGGUGGACAUCUUUAGUUAUCGACCGUUCGCUCUCAUCCCCACUUAGGAUCAGAGUCCUGAGCGCUGACCAGCAUGAGCAACAUUUACAUCCAGGAGCCUCCCACGAACGGGAAGGUUUUAUUGAAAACUACAGCUGGAGAUAUUGACAUAGAGUUGUGGUCAAAAGAAGCUCCUAAAGCUUGCAGAAAUUUCAUUCAGCUUUGUUUGGAAGCAUAUUAUGACAACACCAUAUUUCAUAGAGUUGUACCUGGUUUUAUAGUCCAAGGGGGAGAUCCUACUGGUACAGGGACUGGUGGAGAGUCUAUCUAUGGAGCCCCAUUCAAGGAUGAAUUCCACUCACGGUUGCGUUUUAAUCGGAGAGGACUGGUUGCCAUGGCAAAUGCUGGUCCUCAUGAUAAUGGCAGUCAGUUUUUCUUUACACUGGGUCGAGCAGAUGAACUUAACAAUAAGCACACCAUCUUUGGAAAGGUUACAGGGGAUACAGUAUAUAACAUGCUGCGACUGACAGAAGUAGACAUUGAUGAUGAAGAAAGACCACGUAAUCCACACAAAAUAAAAAGUUGUGAGGUUUUGUUUAAUCCUUUUGAUGACAUCAUUCCAAGAGAAAUAAAAAAGCCAAAAAAAGAGAAACCAGAGGAGGAAGUAAAGAAAUUGAAACCCAGAGGCACAAAAAAUUUUAGUUUACUUUCAUUUGGAGAGGAAGCUGAGGAAGAAGAGGAGGAAGUAAAUCGAGUUAGUCAGAGCAUGAAGGGAAAAAGCAAAAGUAGUCAUGACUUGCUUAAGGAUGAUCCACAUCUCAGCUCUGUUCCAGCUGUUGAAAGUGAAAAAGGGGAUGCAGCAGGAGAUUCAGAUGAUGAUGGAGAAUAUGGAAGUGCAGAGCAUGAUGAAUAUGUUGAUGGUGAUGAGAAGGACCUGAUGAGAGAAAGAAUUGCAAAAAAGUUAAAAAAGGGCACAAGUGCAAAUGUUAAGACAGCUGGAGAGAGUGAAGUGGAGAAGAAAUCAGUUAGCCGCAGCAAAGAGCUCAGAAAAGAAGCAAGACAAUUAAAGCGGGAACUCUUAGCAACAAAACAAAAGAAAGUGGAAAAUGCAGCAGAACAAGCAGAAAAAAGAAGUGAAGAGGAAGAGGCUGCUCCAGAUGGUGCUGUUGCAGAAUACAGACGAGAAAAGCAAAAGUAUGAAGCUCUGAGGAAGCAGCAGGCAAAGAAGGGAACUUCCCGUGAAGACCAGACCCUUGCACUGCUGAACCAGUUUAAAUCCAAACUCACUCAAGCAAUUGCUGAAACUCCUGAAAAUGACAUUUCUGAAACAGAAGUAGAAGAUGAUGAAGGAUGGGUGUUGUAUGCAGAGGCCUUGCACCUAACACAUCGGAUUAGAGUUCCCAGCGCAGAACCGCUGUGCUAACACCCCAGCUUGGUGAGCUGUGUGGAGAAGCACUACACACAACACCUCAAUUCAAGAUGGCGGCAGCGGGCCAUGACCGGAGAAGCUGCACCAGUCACUGCGAUCUGGAGCCUGAGCCACAGCUGCUCCAGCCAGGAGUUUGGAAGAAGCGAGCAGGCAAUGUAGUCAUGUGGUAACAUCCUUCCCACUGCCAAAAUGGAUUAAUGCUGGGAGAUCUUACAACUGGUGAGUAAUCGGUAGUGCUUACAGACCCUCCAAGAUCCCCAAGGUGUGAUUAUUUUCAUACAUGGAUUUCUGUCAUCAUCCUCCAAAGGGUGCUUUGUCAGUUUCUUUAAUUUUCCCUCACUGGACUCUCAAGCCCAUGUUACAAGUAUGG
This is an RNA transcript of Physeter macrocephalus (sperm whale), 1920 nucleotides long. It is a transcript of the gene named CWC27 spliceosome associated cyclophilin, with no coding region annotated. NCBI's taxonomy places the organism in Eukaryota, Metazoa, Chordata, Mammalia, Artiodactyla, Physeteridae. The transcript has 15 exons. The record is from RefSeq and is a predicted model, not a curated record.